UAGCGGGUUAUGGGAGACUCACCAUUACCAAGCCCACCUCAGAAGAAAAUCAUAUUGGCUAGCAACAAUAAUGAUGAGAGAAUAACGCAUUAUUCAUUUACAACCUUUUGUAAUUACCCAUCUAAUUUGGCCUCUAGAGAACGAUGCCUCAGAAGAAUAUCAUAUUGGCACCAUUGCACUUAGUUAAGUCGUUCCCACCAUGCUUGUUCAAGUAGGGGUUCAAGAAUGGCCUCAGAAGAAUAUCAUAUUGGCCAUACUCGUUGCCUACUUUCACUUCAUCAUAUGUUUAUGGGCUUCUCCUGAAUGUAAGCACAUACUUUGCAUACCCCAGAACUGGACGAAUACGGUGUAUGAGUCACAAACGAUUGAAGCCCACCACGGUGGAAGGCCUACGAAGAGAUGUUCAAAACAUCUCUCGCUUAUCAACUUAAUAUUUGUUUUGAGGGAGUAGUUUUGGGCUACAUCAAAACAUUUUAAUCACAUUAAAAGAACUUGGGCCUAUCACAACUAUUGGUCCAAGUUAAUAUGAAUUAGUAGCAUAUAAUACUCCCACUGUUUCGUUGAAACAAGCGAGACUAUAUGGAACUACUACCGAAUGCAUUGCAUCCUCAUAUGGACUAUAUAGUCAUAUUAGGUUUUAGGAUGAUUAUGAACCGAUUAAUUU
Molecule: long non-coding RNA, 664 nt
Filed under: Malus domestica (apple)
Lineage: Eukaryota; Viridiplantae; Streptophyta; Magnoliopsida; Rosales; Rosaceae
Description: long non-coding RNA (MDOM_LNC020028)
Source: RNAcentral